RNAcentral lists this ribosomal RNA (1404 nucleotides) under marine metagenome. Its description in RNAcentral is "bacterial LSU rRNA". It matches the Rfam family "Archaeal large subunit ribosomal RNA", at positions 1519 to 2987 of the family's 2987-position model. The record is from RNAcentral.
GUUAAUAUUCGUCAGCCCCUUACACAACAAAUGGUGACGGCUUGGGCAAAGUCAAUGGAUCAUAUGCCAGGUCCAUCGAUACCUAAUUUCUGGAGAACUGUCAUAGUGAGAAGGAAAGAAAGUCCCAGGUCCCAUGAAAAGCCGUGUAAGGUGACCGUACCGAGAACUGAAACAGGUGUUUUUGGGUGAGUAGCCUAAGGCGUAUCGGAUACAAAUAUCGCGAGGGAACUCGGCAAAAUAGCUCCGUAACUUCGGGAGAAGGAGUGCCAGAUUGGGAACAAUCUGGUCGCAGUGACUAGGGAGCUCCGACUGUUUAAUAAAAACAUAGGGGACUGCCAGAUCGAAAGGUUGUGUAUAGUCCCUGAAUCCUGCUCAGUGCUGGUAUCUUAAAUCGGGUUUCAACCUGACGAAGGACCAGUAAACAGCGGGGGUAACUAUGACCCUCUUAAGGUAGCGUAAUACCUUGUCGCUUAAUUGGCGACUUGCAUGAAUGGUCCAACGAGGGCUCCACUGUCCCCGCGAUAUGUCCGGCGAAAUUGACUUUACUGGCGCACAGUCCAGUACAUUCUACCCGCAAGCGAAGACCCCAUAGAGCUUUACUGCAGCCUGUCGUUGCAUAGUCGCUUUCCAUGUACUGUGUAGGUGGGAGACGUUGAUCCCAGGGACGCCAGUCCCUGGAGGAGUUGAAAGAAGAGACACCACCCUUGGAAGGUAACUAUGCUAACUGUUGAUCAGGACACCGAUUGGUGGGCAGUUUGGGUGGGGCGCCACGCGCUCGAAAACCUAACAAGCGUGCCCAAAGGUCAGCUUAGGUGGUUCAGCACUCCACCGAUAACUGUAAGGGGAAAAGCUGGCUUGACGUGGAUCCGCACAAUAAGGAUCGACGAUGCGAAAGCAGGGCCUAACGAACCUACCAGCCUUAUUUCUGAGGGCGGUAGAUAACAGAAAAGUUACCUUGGGGAUAAUUGAGUUGUCACCAGCAAGAGCUCACAUCGACCUGGUGGCUUGCUACUUCGAUGUCGUCUCUUCCUAUCCUGGGUCUGCAGCAGGACCCAAGGGUGGGGUUGUUCGCCCAUUAAAAGGGAUCGUGAGAUGGGUUUAGACCGUCGUGAGACAGGUUUGUUGCUUGGUGGUAGAAUCGCGUAAGGUGUCUGAUGGAAGGGGCCCUUUAGUACGAGAGGAACGAGGGCUCGGGGCCACUAGUUUACCAGUUGUCUGGCAAGGCAAUGCUGGGUAGCCACGCCCUGAUGGAUAAGAGCUGAAAGCAUCUAAGCUCGAAGCCGCCCCAGAGACGAGACACCUCAGAACGCUCGUAAAAGACGAGUUUGAUAGACUGCGGAUGUAAGCACGAAGCUUCGGCGACGUGUUCAGUCCAGCAGCACUAAUUGUUCGAGCAUCUUUUUC